UACGUAGGGACCAAGCGUUGUUCGGAUUUACUGGGCGUAAAGGGCGCGUAGGCGGCGCGGUAAGUCACUUGUGAAAUCUCUGAGCUUAACUCAGAACGGCCAAGUGAUACUGCAGUGCUAGAGUGUGGAAGGGGCAAUCGGAAUUCUUGGUGUAGCGGUGAAAUGCGCAGAUAUCAGGAGGAACACCGGUGGCGAAGGCGGGUCUCUGGGCCGAUACUGACGCUGAGGAGCGAAAGCGUGGGGAGCAAACAGG
This 253-nucleotide ribosomal RNA is filed under the name uncultured bacterium. Its description in RNAcentral is "partial 16S ribosomal RNA". It matches the Rfam family "Bacterial small subunit ribosomal RNA", at positions 524 to 776 of the family's 1533-position model. The record is from RNAcentral.